GUAACAGAAGUAGCUUGUUAUUAGCUGACGACCGGCGCACGGGUGCGUAACGCGUAUACAAUCUACCUUUUACAGAGGAAUAGCCCAGAGAAAUUCGGAUUAAUGCCUCAUAGUAUUAUAAAGUGGCAUCAUUUAGUAAUUAAAAUUUCGUGGGUAAAAGAUGAGUAUGCGUUCUAUUAGCUAGAUGGUAAGGUAACGGCUUACCAUGGCAACGAUAGAUAGGGGUCCUGAGAGGGAGAUCCCCCACACUGGUACUGAGACACGGACCAGACUCCUACGGGAGGCAGCAGUGAGGAAUAUUGGACAAUGGAGGUAACUCUGAUCCAGCCAUGCCGCGUGCAGGAAGACGGCCCUAUGGGUUGUAAACUGCUUUUAUAUAGGAAGAAACCGUUCCACGUGUGGAAAUCUGACGGUACUAUAUGAAUAAGCACCGGCUAACUCCGUGCCAGCAGCCGCGGUAAUACGGAGGGUGCAAGCGUUAUCCGGAAUCAUUGGGUUUAAAGGGUCCGUAGGCGGGCUAAUAAGUCAGGGGUGAAAUACCACAGCUCAACUGUGGAACUGCCUUUGAUACUGUUAGUCUU
Molecule: ribosomal RNA, 581 nt
Filed under: Lutibacter sp.
Lineage: Bacteria; Pseudomonadati; Bacteroidota; Flavobacteriia; Flavobacteriales; Flavobacteriaceae
Description: bacterial SSU rRNA
Rfam family: Bacterial small subunit ribosomal RNA
Source: RNAcentral